AUACGUAGGUGGCGAGCGUUAUCCGGAAUUACUGGGUGUAAAGGGAGCGUAGACGGUGUGACAAGUCUGAUGUGAAAACCCGGGGCUCAACUCCGGGAUUGCAUUGGAAACUGCCAUACUUGAGUGCAGGAGAGGUAAGCGGAAUUCCUAGUGUAGCGGUGAAAUGCGUAGAUAUUAGGAGGAACACCGGCGGCGAAGGCGGCUUACUGGACUGUAACUGACGUUGAGGCUCGAAAGCGUGGGGAGCAAACAGGAUUAGAUACCCUGGUAGUCCACGCGGUAAACGAUGAAUACUAGGUGUUGGGGGUCUAUAGACCCUCGGUGCCGCAGCAAACGCAAUAAGUAUUCCACCUGGGGAGUACGUUCGCAAGAAUGAAACUCAAAUGAAUUGACGGGG
This 397-nucleotide ribosomal RNA is filed under the name uncultured bacterium. RNAcentral describes it as "partial 16S ribosomal RNA". It matches the Rfam family "Bacterial small subunit ribosomal RNA", at positions 523 to 918 of the family's 1533-position model. The record is from RNAcentral.